This 253-nucleotide ribosomal RNA is filed under the name uncultured prokaryote. Its description in RNAcentral is "partial 16S ribosomal RNA". It matches the Rfam family "Bacterial small subunit ribosomal RNA", at positions 524 to 776 of the family's 1533-position model. The record is from RNAcentral.
UACAGAGGGGGCAAGCGUUGUUCGGAAUUACUGGGCGUAAAGGGCGCGUAGGCGGCCUGCUAAGUCGAACGUGAAAUCCCCGGGCUCAACCCGGGAACUGCGUCCGAUACUGGCAGGCUUGAAUCCGGGAGAGGGAUGCGGAAUUCCAGGUGUAGUGGUGAAAUGCGUAGAUAUCUGAAGGAACACCAGUGGCGAAGGCGGCUUUCUGGCCUAUUCUUGACGCUGAGGCGCGAAAGCUAGGGGAGCGAACGGG